Molecule: ribosomal RNA, 504 nt
Filed under: uncultured bacterium
Lineage: Bacteria
Description: bacterial SSU rRNA
Rfam family: Bacterial small subunit ribosomal RNA
Source: RNAcentral
GACGAACGCUGGCGGCGUGGAUUAGGCAUGCAAGUCGAACGGUAGGAUACCUUCGGGUAUCUGAGAGUAGCGAACGGGUGAGUAACACGUAGGUGAUCUACCCUCAAGAUUGGGACAACCCAGGGAAACUUGGGCUAAUACCGGAUGAAAGCAGCAGUGAUGUUGUUUGAAAGGUGGCGUAAGCUGCCGUUUGGGGAUGAGCCUGCGCUCUAUUAGUUAGUUGGCGGGGUAAAGGCCCACCAAGGCGAUGAUAGAUAGGCGGCCUUAACGGGUGGUCGCCCACACUGGGAUUGAGAUACGGCCCAGACUCCUACGGGAGGCAGCAGUCGAGAAUAGUCUACAAUGGCCGAAAGGCUGAUAGUGCGACGCCGCGUGAACGAAGAAGCCCUUCGGGUGUAAAGUUCUUUUAUAUGUGAGCAGUGCUUCUUAUAUUAACAGUAUGGGGAGAGAGAUAUUAGCAUAUGAAUAAGCAACGGCUAACUCCGUGCCAGCAGCCGCGGUAAA